This 86-nucleotide transfer RNA is filed under the name Bacteroidota bacterium. RNAcentral describes it as "tRNA-Leu". It matches the Rfam family "tRNA". Rfam says of the family: Transfer RNA (tRNA) molecules are approximately 80 nucleotides in length. Their secondary structure includes four short double-helical elements and three loops (D, anti-codon, and T loops). Lineage: Bacteria; Pseudomonadati; Bacteroidota. The record is from RNAcentral.
GCCGAAGUGGUGAAAUUGGUAGACGCGCUGGACUCAAAAUCCAGUAGGGCUUACACCCUGUGCCGGUUCAAGUCCGGCCUUCGGCA